This 469-nucleotide ribosomal RNA is filed under the name uncultured organism. RNAcentral describes it as "bacterial SSU rRNA". It matches the Rfam family "Bacterial small subunit ribosomal RNA", at positions 28 to 507 of the family's 1533-position model. The record is from RNAcentral.
GACGAACGCUGGCGGCGUGCUUAACACAUGCAAGUCGAACGAUGAAGCUGGAGCUUGCUCUGGUGGAUUAGUGGCGAACGGGUGAGUAAUACGUGAGCAACGUGCCCCUUUCUCUGGAAUAACUUCGAGAAAUCGGAGCUAAUACUGGAUAUGUGGCGUGACCGCAUGGUCUGCGUCUGGAAAGAUUUAUCGGGAAGGGAUCGGCUCACGGCCUAUCAGCUUGUUGGUGGGGUAAUGGCCUACCAAGGCGACGACGGGUAGCCGGCCUGAGAGGGUGACCGGCCACACUGGGACUGAGACACGGCCCAGACUCCUACGGGAGGCAGCAGUGGGGAAUAUUGCACAAUGGGCGCAAGCCUGAUGCAGCAACGCCGCGUGGGGGAUGACGGCCUUCGGGUUGUAAACCUCUUUUAGUAGGGAAGAAGCGAGAGUGACGGUACCUGCAGAAAAAGCACCGGCUAACUACGUG